ACGAACGCUGGCGGUGUGCUUCACACAUGCAAGUCGAACGAGGUAGCAAUACCUAGUGGCGGACGGGUGAGUAACGCGUAGGAAUCUGCCUUUAGAUGGGGGAUAGCAGGCCGAAAGGCCUAUUAAUACCGCAUAUGUAUAUGUUCCGACAGGGAUAUAUAUGAAAGGAGCAAUCCGUCUAAAGAUGAGCCUGCGUCCGAUUAGCUAGUUGGUAGGGUAACGGCCUACCAAGGCGACGAUCGGUAGGUGGUCUGAGAGGAUGAUCACCCACAAUGGAACUGAGACACGGUCCAUACUCCUACGGGAGGCAGCAGUGGGGAAUUUUACGCAAUGGGGGAAACCCUGACGUAGCGACACCGCGUGAGCGAAGAAGCCCUUUGGGGUGUAAAGCUCUGUCAGCUGGGACGAAACAAAUGACGGUACCAGCAGAGGAAGCAUCGGCUAACUACGU
This 451-nucleotide ribosomal RNA is filed under the name uncultured bacterium. RNAcentral describes it as "bacterial SSU rRNA". It matches the Rfam family "Bacterial small subunit ribosomal RNA", at positions 29 to 506 of the family's 1533-position model. The record is from RNAcentral.